AUACGGAGGAUGCAAGCGUUAUCCGGAUUUAUUGGGUUUAAAGGGUGCGUAGGCUGUUCGGAAAGUCAGGGGUGAAAGCCCGGCGCCUAACGCCGGAACUGCCUUUGAUACUUCCGAGCUGGAAUACGGAUGCCGUGGGAGGAAUGAGUAGAGUAGCGGUGAAAUGCAUAGAUAUUACUCAGAACACCGAUUGCGAAGGCAUCUCACGAAUACGUCAUUGACGCUGAGGCACGAAAGCGUGGGGAUCAAACAGGAUUAGAUACCCUGGUAGUCCACGCAGUAAACGAUGAUGACUAACCGUCGGCGAUACACAGUCGGUGGCCAAGCGAAAGCGAUAAGUCAUCCACCUGGGGAGUACGUUCGCAAGAAUGAAACUCAAAGGAAUUGACGGGG
RNAcentral lists this ribosomal RNA (393 nucleotides) under uncultured bacterium. Its description in RNAcentral is "partial 16S ribosomal RNA". It matches the Rfam family "Bacterial small subunit ribosomal RNA", at positions 523 to 918 of the family's 1533-position model. The record is from RNAcentral.